This 22-nucleotide microRNA is filed under the name Drosophila melanogaster (fruit fly). RNAcentral's name for it is "dme-miR-992-5p". Its record names the gene dme-miR-992-5p. Lineage: Eukaryota; Metazoa; Arthropoda; Insecta; Diptera; Drosophilidae. The record is from miRBase by way of RNAcentral.
UGGUAUCAGCAAAGUGUUAUUU